This 287-nucleotide ribosomal RNA is filed under the name uncultured bacterium. Its description in RNAcentral is "partial 16S ribosomal RNA". It matches the Rfam family "Bacterial small subunit ribosomal RNA", at positions 355 to 634 of the family's 1533-position model. The record is from RNAcentral.
UAGGGAAUCUUCCACGAUGGACGCAAGUCUGAUGGAGCAACGCCGCGUGAGUGAAGAAGGCUUUCGGGUCGUAAAACUCUGUUAUUGAAGAAGAACGUGUGUGACAGUAACUGGUCAUGCAGUGACGGUAUUCAAUCAGAAAGUCACGGCUAACUACGUGCCAGCAGCCGCGGUAAUACGUAGGUGGCAAGCGUUGUCCGGAUUUAUUGGGCGUAAAGCGAGUGCAGGCGGUCUUUUAAGUCUGAUGUGAAAGCCUUCGGCUUAACCGAAGAAGGGCAUCGGAAACU